Molecule: long non-coding RNA, 632 nt
Organism: Heterocephalus glaber (naked mole-rat)
Lineage: Eukaryota; Metazoa; Chordata; Mammalia; Rodentia; Bathyergidae
Source: Ensembl
CUUGUGAGGUACCACAGACAAUGAGUGUAGUAAAUAAGUUACGCGCAAUGUUGGAAAGUCUUAAGUGCUAUUUAACAAGUGGGGAGGGGUGGCUCAUGCCAGCGCAUGCAGAAGGUGAGGUGUCAUUUUGGAAAGCGCAGUAACAGAGGGCUUCGCAGAGCAGGUGACAUUUGACAGACUCAAAGGAGCAGAGCUGGGAGCUACCUGGGGAAGGAGCUCGAGGACAGGAGACAGCCUGGAGGCGCGAGGGUCCCACUGUAUAGUUCAGGAUGGCCUCAAACUCAUGGAGACCCUGCUUCCAAGAGCUGGAAUUAGAGGCAUGCACCGCCACCCUCGAAGCACUGACCUCUGGACAGACCCUCACAACUUCUAACUGUGUGUGAAAACAGCUGUCUGGUUGUCUCCAGGCCUUCAGAUUUCAGUUCCUCUGCACAUAACCCAGCUAAAUGUGGCCGCCUCAUGGAGACAGGAUCCAUGAAUGUGAAAGAGAAGCCAAUAAAAAACACCCUUAGAGUAAUAGCAACCGAUGUUGAAGACCUACUAUGUGCUCGACACACGGCUGCAAAGCUCAUGAGGCUUCACACACCCUACCCUGAUCGGCCCUCACACUGAGCCGCCAGUUCUACUCAUCC